UGGGGAAUCUUGCACAAUGGGCGCAAGCCUGAUGCAGCCAUGCCGCGUGAAUGAUGAAGGCCUUAGGGUUGUAAAGUUCUUUCGCCCGUGACGAUAGUGACGGUAACGGGAGAAGAAGCCCCGGCUAACUUCGUGCCAGCAGCCGCGGUGAUACGAAGGGGGCUAGCGUUGUUCGGAAUUACUGGGCGUAAAGCGCGCGCAGGCGGUUCGCUAAGUCAGAGGUGAAAUCCCCGGGCUCAACCCGGGAAUGGCCUUUGAGACUGGCGGGCUAGAGGACGAGAGAGGUGAGUGGAAUUCCCAGUGUAGAGGUGAAAUUCGUAGAUAUUGGGAAGAACACCGGUGGCGAAGGCGGCUCACUGGCUCGUUUCUGACGCUGAGGCGCGAAAGCGUGGGGAGCAAA
RNAcentral lists this ribosomal RNA (400 nucleotides) under uncultured bacterium. Its description in RNAcentral is "bacterial SSU rRNA". It matches the Rfam family "Bacterial small subunit ribosomal RNA", at positions 355 to 772 of the family's 1533-position model. The record is from RNAcentral.